RNAcentral lists this ribosomal RNA (253 nucleotides) under uncultured bacterium. Its description in RNAcentral is "partial 16S ribosomal RNA". It matches the Rfam family "Bacterial small subunit ribosomal RNA", at positions 524 to 776 of the family's 1533-position model. The record is from RNAcentral.
UACGUAGGGGGCAAGCGUUGUCCGGAUUUAUUGGGCGUAAAGAGCGUGUAGGCGGCCGCACAGGUCCGCUGUGAAAACUCGAGGCUCAACCUCGAGACGUCGGUGGAAACCGUUUGGCUAGAGUCCGGAAGAGGAGAGUGGAAUUCCCGGUGUAGCGGUGAAAUGCGCAGAUAUCGGGAAGAACACCCGUGGCGAAGGCGGCUCUCUGGGACGGUACUGACGCUGAGACGCGAAAGCGUGGGGAGCGAACAGG